UACGUAGGCAGCAAGCGUUGUUCGGAGUUACUGGGCGUAAAGAGUGCGUAGGUGGUGCCCUAAGUCUGUUGUGAAAUCUCCCGGCUUAACUGGGAGGGUGCGGUGGAAACUGGGGUGCUUGAGUGUGGGAGAGGUAAGUGGAAUUCCUGGUGUAGCGGUGAAAUGCGUAGAUAUCAGGAGGAACACCUGUGGCGAAAGCGGCGCACUGGACCAUAACUGACGCUGAGGCGCGAAAGCUAGGGGAGCAAACAGG
RNAcentral lists this ribosomal RNA (253 nucleotides) under uncultured bacterium. Its description in RNAcentral is "partial 16S ribosomal RNA". It matches the Rfam family "Bacterial small subunit ribosomal RNA", at positions 524 to 776 of the family's 1533-position model. The record is from RNAcentral.